RNAcentral lists this ribosomal RNA (390 nucleotides) under Praon volucre. RNAcentral's name for it is "partial 16S ribosomal RNA". Lineage: Eukaryota; Metazoa; Arthropoda; Insecta; Hymenoptera; Braconidae. The record is from RNAcentral.
AAAACAUGUCUUAUUGAUUAUAAUUUUAAGUCUAAUCUGCCCAAUGAUAUUUUAUUUAAUGGCUGCAGUAUUUAUAACUGUACAAAGGUAGCAUAAUAAUUAGUUUUUUAAUUGAAAACUAGAAUGAAAGAUUAAAUGAAAUAUAUACUAUAUAAAUAAAAUUAAAAAUUAAAAUUAAAAUUUAAGUAAAAAUUCUUAAAUUAUUUUAAAAGACGAGAAGACCCUAUAGAAUUUUAUUUUUUAUUAUUUUAAGAUUUAAUAAUAAAUUUAAAUAAAUAAUAAAAAAUUUAAUUGGGGUAAUUUUAAAAUUAAAUUAAUUUUUAUUUAAAAAACAUAAAUUAAUGAAUUUUUAAUCCUAAAAUUUAGAUUAAAAAAAUAAAUUACCUUAGG